Molecule: ribosomal RNA, 572 nt
Filed under: Escherichia coli
Lineage: Bacteria; Pseudomonadati; Pseudomonadota; Gammaproteobacteria; Enterobacterales; Enterobacteriaceae
Description: partial 23S ribosomal RNA
Rfam family: Bacterial large subunit ribosomal RNA
Source: RNAcentral
CCCGCGGCAAGACGGAAAGACCCCGUGAACCUUUACUAUAGCUUGACACUGAACAUUGAGCCUUGAUGUGUAGGAUAGGUGGGAGGCUUUGAAGUGUGGACGCCAGUCUGCAUGGAGCCGACCUUGAAAUACCACCCUUUAAUGUUUGAUGUUCUAACGUUGACCCGUAAUCCGGGUUGCGGACAGUGUCUGGUGGGUAGUUUGACUGGGGCGGUCUCCUCCUAAAGAGUAACGGAGGAGCACGAAGGUUGGCUAAUCCUGGUCGGACAUCAGGAGGUUAGUGCAAUGGCAUAAGCCAGCUUGACUGCGAGCGUGACGGCGCGAGCAGGUGCGAAAGCAGGUCAUAGUGAUCCGGUGGUUCUGAAUGGAAGGGCCAUCGCUCAACGGAUAAAAGGUACUCCGGGGAUAACAGGCUGAUACCGCCCAAGAGUUCAUAUCGACGGCGGUGUUUGGCACCUCGAUGUCGGCUCAUCACAUCCUGGGGCUGAAGUAGGUCCCAAGGGUAUGGCUGUUCGCCAUUUAAAGUGGUACGCGAGCUGGGUUUAGAACGUCGUGAGACAGUUCGGUCCCUA